Molecule: unclassified non-coding RNA, 317 nt
Filed under: Pseudoxanthomonas sp. CF385
Lineage: Bacteria; Pseudomonadati; Pseudomonadota; Gammaproteobacteria; Lysobacterales; Lysobacteraceae
Description: Long range pseudoknot
Source: RNAcentral
ACCGACGAGGGCGACUACCAGAUCAAGAUGCGCAACAUCCGCCGCUUCCUGGAAGAGGGCGACAAGGUCAAGGUCAACAUCCGCUUCCGUGGCCGCGAAAUGAGCCACCAGGAGCUGGGUCGCGAGAUGGCUGCGCGCAUCGAGGCCGAGCUGGGCGACGAGAUCGUCAUCGAGUCGCGUCCGCGCCUGGAAGGCCGCCAGAUGGUCAUGAUGAUCGCGCCGAAGAAGAAGUGAUCCCGGCCGCCUUUGGCGCAGGAUCCGCGGGAGGGCGCCGAGAGGCGCCCUUGCUGUUUCCGGCAACCGCCAUCAGCGGGCUA